Molecule: ribosomal RNA, 398 nt
Filed under: uncultured bacterium
Lineage: Bacteria
Description: partial 16S ribosomal RNA
Rfam family: Bacterial small subunit ribosomal RNA
Source: RNAcentral
AUACGUAGGGUGCGAGCGUUGUCCGGAAUUACUGGGCGUAAAGAGCUCGUAGGUGGUGUGUCGCGUCGUCUGUGAAAUUCCGGGGCUUGACUCCGGGCGUGCAGGCGAUACGGGCAUAACUUGAGUACUGUAGGGGAGACUGGAAUUCCUGGUGUAGCGUGGAAAUGCGCAGAUAUCGGGAGGAACACCGGUGGCGAAGGGGGGUCUCUGGGCAUUAACUGACGCUGAGGAGCGAAAGCAUGGGUAGCGAACAGGAUUAGAUACCCUGGUGGUCCAUGCCGUAAACGGUGGGCGCUAGGUGUAGGGGUCUUCCACGACUUCUGUGCCGUAGCUAACGCAUUAAGCGCCCCGCCUGGGGAGUACGGCCGCAAGGCUAAAACUCAAAGGAAUUGACGGGG